Molecule: ribosomal RNA, 253 nt
Filed under: uncultured bacterium
Lineage: Bacteria
Description: partial 16S ribosomal RNA
Rfam family: Bacterial small subunit ribosomal RNA
Source: RNAcentral
UACGAAGAGGGCUAGCGUUGCUCGGAAUCACUGGGCGUAAAGCGCACGUAGGCGGACUCUUAAGUCGGUGGUGAAAUCCUGGAGCUCAACUCCAGAACUGCCUUCGAUACUGAGAGUCUCGAGUCCGGGAGAGGUGAGUGGAACUGCGAGUGUAGAGGUGAAAUUCGUAGAUAUUCGCAAGAACACCAGUGGCGAAGGCGGCUCACUGGCCCGUAACUGACGCUGAGGCACGAAAGCGUGGGGAGCAAACAGG